GACGAACGCUGGCGGCGUGCUUAACACAUGCAAGUCGAACGGAAAGGCCCUGCUUGCAGGGUACUCGAGUGGCGAACGGGUGAGUAACACGUGGGUGAUCUGCCCUGCACUUCGGGAUAAGCCUGGGAAACUGGGUCUAAUACCGGCUAGGAGCCAUUUUUAGUGUGAUGGUUGGAAAGUUUUUUCGGUGUAGGAUGAGCUCGCGGCCUAUCAGCUUGUUGGUGGGGUAAUGGCCUACCAAGGCGGCGACGGGUAGCCGGACUGAGAGGGUGGACGGCCACAUUGGGACUGAGAGGCGGCCCAGACUCCGACGGGAGGCAGCAGUGGGGAAGAUUGCACAAGGGGCGCAGGCCUGAUGCAGCGACGCCGCGUGGUGUAUGACGGCCUUCGGGUUGUAGACACCGUUCGCUAGGGACGAAGCUUUUUGUGACGGUACCGAGAUAAGAAGCACCGGCUAACUACGUG
This 465-nucleotide ribosomal RNA is filed under the name uncultured bacterium. Its description in RNAcentral is "partial 16S ribosomal RNA". It matches the Rfam family "Bacterial small subunit ribosomal RNA", at positions 28 to 507 of the family's 1533-position model. The record is from RNAcentral.